RNAcentral lists this long non-coding RNA (328 nucleotides) under Jatropha curcas. Its description in RNAcentral is "long non-coding RNA (JCUR_LNC002247)". Lineage: Eukaryota; Viridiplantae; Streptophyta; Magnoliopsida; Malpighiales; Euphorbiaceae. The record is from RNAcentral.
AUCCAGUAAAAACAUCUCACCAAAAUUACAAUAAUAAAAAAAAUCUCAAUAUAAAUUAUGGACUGCACAAUUCAUUUUUCUCCCUUCUUGGCAGUAAAUUUGGUCACUUUAGCUUAAUACUAAGACUAACAGCAACAGUAUGGCGCAUGUCCCUAAUAAAAAAUCAAACCCAAUGAAGGAUAUUCAAAGAAGGUUUCCACCAGCAUGAACUUAAUUGGAAUCAUUUUCAUGAAUCCAAGAUCACCCCUUGUUCACGAUUUCAUCAUACCUAGAAUUGGAGUAUUUGGAUGCUGUAGAUACUAUCUGCAAAUAUGAAAAAAAAAUAUUC